This 301-nucleotide ribosomal RNA is filed under the name uncultured bacterium. Its description in RNAcentral is "partial 16S ribosomal RNA". It matches the Rfam family "Bacterial small subunit ribosomal RNA", at positions 509 to 807 of the family's 1533-position model. The record is from RNAcentral.
CAGUCGCCGCGGUAAUACGUAGGUGGCAAGCGUUGUCCGGAAUUAUUGGGCGUAAAGGGCUCGCAGGCGGUUUCUUAAGUCUGAUGUGAAAGCCCCCGGCUCAACCGGGGAGGGUCAUUGGAAACUGGGGAACUUGAGUGCAGAAGAGGAGAGUGGAAUUCCACGUGUAGCGGUGAAAUGCGUAGAGAUGUGGAGGAACACCAGUGGCGAAGGCGACUCUCUGGUCUGUAACUGACGCUGAGGAGCGAAAGCGUGGGGAGCGAACGGGAUUAGAUACCCCCGUAGUCCCUGUCUCUUAUAC